UCGGAAACGGGGGCUAAUACCGGAUAUUCCUGUCUUCACGCAUGUGGGGGUGGGGAAAGCUUUUGCGGAUUGGGGUGGGCUCGCGGCCUAUCAGCUUGUUGGUGGGGUGAUGGCCUACCAAGGCUUUGACGGGUAGCCGGCCUGAGAGGGCGACCGGCCACACUGGGACUGAGACACGGCCCAGACUCCUACGGGAGGCAGCAGUGGGAAUAUUGCACAAUGGACGCAAGUCUGAUGCAGCGACGCCGUGUGAGGGAUGACGGCCUUCGGGUUGUAAACCUCUUUCGCCAGGGACGAAGCCGGCUUGUCCGGUGACGGUACUUGGAGAAGAAGCGCCGGCCAACUACGUGCCAGCAGCCGCGGUAAGACGUAGGGCGCGAGCGUUGUCCGGAUUUAUUGGGCGUAAAGAGCUCGUAGGCGGCUCAUUGCGUCAACCGUGAAAACCAGCAGCUCAACUGUUGGCUUGCGGUUGAUACGGGUGGGCUGGAGUUCGGUAGGGGAGACUGGAAUUCCUGGUGUAGCGGUGAAAUGCGCAGAUAUCAGGAGAAACACCGGUGGCGAAGGCGGGUCUCUGGGCCGAUACUGACGCUGAGGAGCGAAAGCGUGGGGAGCGAACAGGAUUAGAUACCCUGGUAGUCCACGCUGUAAACGUUGGGCGCUAGGUGUGGGGGGCCUCUCCGGUUUCCUGCGCCGUAGCUAACGCAUUAAGCGCCCCGCCUGGGGAGUACGGCCGCAAGGCUAAAACUCAAAGGAAUUGACGGGGCCCGCACAAGCGGCGGAGCAUGCGGAUUAAUUCGAUGCGACGCGAAGAACCUUACCUGGGUUUGACAUCGCCGGAAAUCUCGCAGAGAUGCGGGGUCCUUCGGGGCCGGUGACAGGUGAUGCAUGGCUGUCUUCAGCUCGUGUCGUGAGAUGUUGGGUUAAGUCCCGCAACGAGCGCAACCCUCGUUCCAUGUUGCCAGCGGGUUAUGCCGGGGACUCAUGGGAGACUGCCGGGGUCAACUCGGAGGAAGGUGGGGAUGACGUCAAGUCAUCAUGCCCCUUAUGUCCAGGGCUUCACGCAUGCUACAAUGGCCGGUACAAUGGGCUGCGAUACCGCGAGGUGGAGCGAAUCCCAAAAAGCCGGUCUCAGUUCGGAUCGGGGUCUGCAACUCGACCCCGUGAAGUCGGAGUCGCUAGUAACCGCAGACCAGCAACGCUGCGGUGAAUACGUUCCCGGGCCUUGUACACACCGCCCGUCACGUC
RNAcentral lists this ribosomal RNA (1245 nucleotides) under metagenome. RNAcentral describes it as "bacterial SSU rRNA". It matches the Rfam family "Bacterial small subunit ribosomal RNA", at positions 150 to 1403 of the family's 1533-position model. The record is from RNAcentral.